Drosophila suzukii is the source of this 2247-nucleotide non-coding RNA. NCBI's taxonomy places the organism in Eukaryota, Metazoa, Arthropoda, Insecta, Diptera, Drosophilidae. The record is from RefSeq and is a predicted model, not a curated record.
ACGGCUGACUGAAAUAUGUAUUACUGAAAUGGCCCGCCGCUGUCAAAUAUUUAGCUCUUGUAAAUAAACAACGUUCGAAAUAUGUCCAAGUAUUUUUGACUGACAUGUCUGCUGCCUGCUUUGAACGCCCUUAUCUCUUGCUGGGAACUCGCACAGCUCACUGUCAUCGGCAAUAUCGGAUUCAUCAAAAAUUAAGCAGGAGCUGCGAACCAGCAGAGCUGGCAGAGGCAGUCAAAACUUGUGGAAUAUUCCUUGUGCAAAGUUGGUUAAUGGGCAUAAGUGUGGCAACAGACGCCGACAAUGACUUAAGAAUUAGCUCUAAUGCAAAUACUGUGCUCCACAAACACGAACGCAUUUACACAGAGGAGAAUGUCUGUGCGAGUGAGCCAUCGAUAAUUUCGUGACUCGAUACUUAUCUUCUGCAUUCCCCGGCUUCUACAUAUUUGCUCUCAUUACUCUGCUGCUUUGGGCAUGCAAGCAUAACUAACAACUUACCUUUCGCCACUAUCUUGGGCGGCAUAUAAUUCCCAUUUGAUUCGAAGGAUAAUAUGGGUAGAUAUGCCAAUUUCUGCGCCGGAUGCCAAGAGAAACGGAUGCGCAGCCUUCACAAAAGGCACGUAAUGCUGCUGUCGGGCCUUGGUCCUGUUAUGUCAUACUUCACGGACCCAUUUUACCCCCGUCUUACGGCCCAAUGUUACCCUUAUGUGAGUGCGUGUGUGAAGUUACGUUACUUCUGAAAAGGGUAACGUACGCAAUCCCCUGCACUUAAGGGGGUAUUAUAGCCUAGAAAUUUGAAAAAAUGGAAAACAAUUUUUUUUCAUAAUUCGAUAGUUUAGAUAUUCAAAAAUAUCUCCCUAAACGGAUUUUUCAAAAUUCAAAUUAUUUUUAAAAUUAUAGCCGUUUUAGUGACGCGGCAACUAGACCGGUUGAACGAGCGACUGGAGGCCCGGGCUACCUGAGUAUGAAUAACUUUUUCUCCUUCUUUCUAUUUAUUUCCUUAUUUAUUUCCUUAUUUUCAGUAUACUAUAUCAAUCGUUUGAAUGUCAUUGUAACGUAUUAUACGAAAAUCUCUAUUCAAUUUGCUUUUAGUUUGAUUUAGUCACUUGUUAACCUUUAAACAGUGAAGACGUACAAUCACGUGUGAAUUUUUCUGUGCGCUCUUUAUAUUAUUUUAUUUUUGUUUUAAAAUGGAAAAAAAAAAUAGCAGACAAGGUACUUCGCGUCCCGGCAGAUCAAAAAAACGGAGGUUUAGCGGUAAUCAACAUACUCUUGAAGAGGAUACAUCUUUUACUAGUGCAUCGGCAGCAAAGUUGAAGAGUUCAAGUGAUGAUGAAAUUUUAGUGGAUAGUAAUUUUGGUUAUUGUUUAUUAGAAUUUUGUUCUGUGUUUUCAUCUCUUGCAAAUUAAUUGCAAAUUAUUUAGCAGUCUGUUUUUUAAUGAAGGUUUUUAUCCUAUUCUAAAUAUUAUGGGUUUGCUGUUAAGCGCAACGCUGUAAGGAUCCAACGGUCUGAGGUCCGAGCUUCAGAUGCUUCAAAAGAAGGAAGAACUGCUCGUUAUCAUGAAAGAACUGCUAAAAUUAAUCGAUAUGAAGUAGAAGAAGGCCCAAUGUAUAAAGCUGGGAUGGCUGAUUAAGAGAAUAUGACCACAAGGGUAGAAAUCAUGGCGACGAGGACACGGCCUUUUUUUCCCUUCUACUUCAAGAACGCAUAACUCGAUGAAAAAAAUUUUUUUUUUUUUAAAUUUUAUUUUAUGUACUCUUCUAAGUUAAAUAAACAAAUGAUAAAAAACCCGACAGUAAAAAUAUCAAUUGUUUAGUUUUAAUUAAUUGUUAAAAAAGGCUCGAAACUAGAGCCUCUACACCCAGAAAAAAAAGAACGAAAAAAAUGAAGAACAUUUUUCAUGAAAUGCGAACAAUCCGUUCUCCAUUUUUAGUUCUCACAUUUCAAAAAUCGAACGGUGUUGGUAACAAUUUCUACCGACGAACAACUUGGUUCCAAAUUGCGAAAAAUGUUCUCAGAUAUCGAACGCCGUUCAGGAAAAAGCUGCGAUAGACGCGUUAAAGUCUAUCGAAAUCGAUAAUAUCAACACCGUUCAUAAAAACAUGUAUGUAGGUCUAGGUCCCGAUUUUCCGCAUUCGAAAAAUUCGCUUGGUGGUCUAGCUGCUAGAGCGUCCGCCUUCGACACAUGGUAGCACAGGUUCGAGUCCGCGAGAAGACGGUUGUGAAUUGUAAUUGUUUUAUUAAAAUAU